RNAcentral lists this ribosomal RNA (529 nucleotides) under Pseudomonas sp. 3R1-6. Its description in RNAcentral is "bacterial SSU rRNA". It matches the Rfam family "Bacterial small subunit ribosomal RNA", at positions 212 to 733 of the family's 1533-position model. Lineage: Bacteria; Pseudomonadati; Pseudomonadota; Gammaproteobacteria; Pseudomonadales; Pseudomonadaceae. The record is from RNAcentral.
CUCGCGCGAUUGGAGCGGCCGAUGUCANAUUANGUAGUUGGUGAGGUAAAGGCUCACCAAGCCGACGAUCUGUAGCUGGUCUGAGAGGACGACCAGCCACACUGGGACUGAGACACGGCCCAGACUCCUACGGGAGGCAGCAGUGGGGAAUUUUGGACAAUGGACGCAAGUCUGAUCCAGCCAUGCCGCGUGCGGGAAGAAGGCCUUCGGGUUGUAAACCGCUUUUGUCAGGGAAGAAAAGGCUCCGGAUAAUACCUGGGGCUCAUGACGGUACCUGAAGAAUAAGCACCGGCUAACUACGUGCCAGCAGCCGCGGUAAUACGUAGGGUGCAAGCGUUAAUCGGAAUUACUGGGCGUAAAGCGUGCGCAGGCGGUUAUGUAAGACAGAGGUGAAAUCCCCGGGCUCAACCUGGGAACUGCCUUUGUGACUGCAUGACUAGAGUACGGUAGAGGGGGAUGGAAUUCCACGUGUAGCAGUGAAAUGCGUAGAUAUGUGGAGGAACACCGAUGGCGAAGGCAAUCCCCUGGA